CUUCUUGUUUUUAAAAGACCUAGCAAUAGGUAUGCUUAGGGAGGAGCUUGCGUCACAUUAGUUAGUUGGUGGGGUAAAGGCCUAACAAGACUAUGAUGUGUAGCCGGGCUGAGAGGUUGAACGGCCACAUUGGGACUGAGAUACGGCCCAAACUCCUACGGGAGGCAGCAGUAGGGAAUUUUCGGCAAUGGAGGAAACUCUGACCGAGCAACGCCGCGUGAACGAUGAAGUAUUUCGGUACGUAAAGUUCUUUUAUUAGGGAAGAAUAAAUGAUGGAAAAAUCAUUCUGACGGUACCUAAUGAAUAAGCCCCGGCUAACUAUGUGCCAGCAGCCGCGGUAAUACAUAGGGGGCAAGCGUUAUCCGGAAUUAUUGGGCGUAAAGGGUGCGUAGGCGGUUAAAUAAGUUUAUGGUCUAAGUGCAAUGCUCAACAUUGUGAUGCUAUAAAAACUGUUUAGCUAGAGUAAGAUAGAGGCAAGUGGAAUUCCAUGUGUAGUGGUAAAAUGCGUAAAUAUAUGGAGGAACACCAGUAGCGAAGGCGGCUUGCUGGGUCUUUACUGACGCUGAGGCACGAAAGCGUGGGGAGCAAACAGGAUUAGAUACCCUGGUAGUCCACGCCGUAAACGAUGAGUACUAAACGUUGGGUAAAAACCAGUGUUGAAGUUAACACAUUAAGUACUCCGCCUGAGUAGUACGUACGCAAGUAUGAAACUUAAAGGAAUUGACGGGACUCCGCACAAGCGGUGGAUCAUGUUGUUUAAUUCGAAGGUACCCGAAAAACCUCACCAGGUCUUGACAUGCUUCUGCAAAGCUGUAGAAACACAGUGGAGGUUAUCAGUUGCACAGGUGGUGCAUGGUUGUCGUCAGCUCGUGUCGUGAGAUGUUGGGUUAAGUCCCGCAACGAGCGCAACCCUUAUUGUUAGUUACCAGCACGUAAUGGUGGGGACUUUAGCAAGACUGCCAGUGAUAAAUUGGAGGAAGGUGGGGACGACGUCAAAUCAUCAUGCCCCUUAUGACCUGGGCUACAAACGUGAUACAAUGGCUGUUACAAAGGGUAGCUGAAGCGCAAGUUUUUGGCGAAUCUCAAAAAAACAGUCUCAGUUCGGAUUGAAGUCUGCAACUCGACUUCAUGAAGUUGGAAUCGCUAGUAAUCGCGAAUCAGCAUG
Molecule: ribosomal RNA, 1165 nt
Filed under: 'Fraxinus excelsior' phytoplasma
Lineage: Bacteria; Bacillati; Mycoplasmatota; Mollicutes; Acholeplasmatales; Acholeplasmataceae
Description: bacterial SSU rRNA
Rfam family: Bacterial small subunit ribosomal RNA
Source: RNAcentral